Molecule: ribosomal RNA, 794 nt
Filed under: Camposporium sp.
Lineage: Eukaryota; Fungi; Ascomycota; Dothideomycetes; Pleosporales; Melanommataceae
Description: eukaryotic LSU rRNA
Rfam family: Eukaryotic large subunit ribosomal RNA
Source: RNAcentral
UAGCUCAAAUUUGAAAUCUGGCUCUUUCAGAGUCCGAGUUGUAAUUUGCAGAGGGCGCUUUGGCGUCGGCAGCGGCCUAAGUUCCUUGGAACAGGUCAUCAUAGAGGGUGAGAAUCCCGUAUGUGGUCGACUGUCUUCACCGUGUAAAGCCCCUUCGACGAGUCGAGUUGUUUGGGAAUGCAGCUCUAAAUGGGAGGUAAAUUUCUUCUAAAGCUAAAUAUUGGCCAGAGACCGAUAGCGCACAAGUAGAGUGAUCGAAAGAUGAAAAGCACUUUGGAAAGAGAGUCAAAAAGCACGUGAAAUUGUUGAAAGGGAAGCGCUUGCAGCCAGACGUGCCUGUAGUUGCUCAUCUGGGGUUUUCCCCAGUGCACUCUUCUAUAGGCAGGCCAGCAUCAGUCCGGGCGGUUGGAGAAAGACCUGUGUCAUGUAGCUGUUUUCGGGCAGUGUUAUAGGGCAGGUGGAAUGCAACCAGCCUGGACUGAGGUCCGCGCAUCUGCUAGGAUGCUGGCGUAAUGGCUGUAAGCGGCCCGUCUUGAAACACGGACCAAGGAGUCUAACAUCUAUGCGAGUGUUUGGGUGUCAAGCCCGAGCGCGUAAUGAAAGUGAACGGAGGUGGGAACCUUAGGGUGCACCAUCGACCGAUCCUGAUGUCUUCGGAUGGAUUUGAGUAAGAGCAUAGCUGUUGGGACCCGAAAGAUGGUGAACUAUGCCUGAAUAGGGUGAAGCCAGAGGAAACUCUGGUGGAGGCUCGCAGCGGUUCUGACGUGCAAAUCUAUCGUCAAAUCUGGGCAUAG